AAGCAGACCCAUGGGAAUGACUGUGGUGUCUUCAUGAUAAUGUAUGCCUGGUAUUUUGCCAUGGAGGCCAGCUUUGACUUCAGCAUUCAUGACAUGUCUCUCCUGAGAAGGUGGUGGUGUGUUAUCCUGGUGGAAAACUUUGGACUGGAAGGGUAUGCUGCAGUGCUACAAAAACAUUUGAAUUUGUAAUUGUAUUAUCAAGAAGAUUUGGGGGUGAACACCUGGCUCUAAAAUUCAACCUUCUGGUGAAGAAAAUGUGUCUUAAUUGCAGGUAUGGAAAGAAGUUUGCUCACUAUAGUGAGGAAGGCAGCGACAAUGUCCCACCUACAUUCAGGAUCAGUCGUAAAAGGACGCAUGCAAGCAGCACCAUG
Long non-coding RNA from Gymnodraco acuticeps, 371 nucleotides. RefSeq lists it as uncharacterized. The transcript is spliced from 3 exons. NCBI's taxonomy places the organism in Eukaryota, Metazoa, Chordata, Actinopteri, Perciformes, Bathydraconidae. The record is from RefSeq and is a predicted model, not a curated record.